This 253-nucleotide unclassified non-coding RNA is filed under the name uncultured Alphaproteobacteria bacterium. RNAcentral's name for it is "contains 16S-23S intergenic spacer region". It matches the Rfam family "Bacterial small subunit ribosomal RNA", at positions 524 to 776 of the family's 1533-position model. The record is from RNAcentral. Lineage: Bacteria; Pseudomonadati; Pseudomonadota; Alphaproteobacteria.
UACGUAGGUGGCAAGCGUUGUUCGGAAUUACUGGGCGUAAAGCGCGCGUAGGCGGAUCUGCAAGUCAGCGGUGAAAGCCCGAGGCUCAACCUCGGAACUGCCUUGGAUACUGCGGAUCUCGAGUGCGAGAGAGGUGAGUGGAAUUCCUAGUGUAGAGGUGAAAUUCGUAGAUAUUAGGGAGAACACCAGUGGCGAAGGCGGCUCACUGGCUCGGUACUGACGCUGAGGCGCGAAAGCGUGGGGAGCAAACAGG